This 273-nucleotide ribosomal RNA is filed under the name uncultured bacterium. Its description in RNAcentral is "partial 16S ribosomal RNA". It matches the Rfam family "Bacterial small subunit ribosomal RNA", at positions 524 to 796 of the family's 1533-position model. The record is from RNAcentral.
UACGGAGGAUCCAAGCGUUAUCCGGAUUUAUUGGGUUUAAAGGGUGCGUAGGCGGCUUAUUAAGUCAGGGGUGAAAGACGGCAGCUCAACUGUCGCAGUGCCUUUGAUACUGAUGAGCUUGAAUGAACCUGAGGUAGGCGGAAUGUGACAAGUAGCGGUGAAAUGCAUAGAUAUGUCACAGAACACCAAUUGCGAAGGCAGCUUACUAAAGUUUAAUUGACGCUGAGGCACGAAAGCGUGGGGAUCAAACAGGAUUAGAAACCCUCGUAGUCC